GAUGAACGCUGGCGGCGUGCCUAAUACAUGCCAGUCGAGCGAACUGACGAGGAGCUUGCUCCUCUGACGUUAGCGGCGGACGGGUGAGUAACACGUGGAUAACCUACCUAUAAGACUGGGAUAACUUCGGGAAACCGGAGCUAAUACCGGAUAAUAUAUUGAACCGCAUGGUUCAAUAGUGAAAGACGGUUUUGCUGUCACUUAUAGAUGGAUCCGCGCCGCAUUAGCUAGUUGGUAAGGUAACGGCUUACCAAGGCAACGAUGCGUAGCCGACCUGAGAGGGUGAUCGGCCACACUGGAACUGAGACACGGUCCAGACUCCUACGGGAGGCAGCAGUAGGGAAUCUUCCGCAAUGGGCGAAAGCCUGACGGAGCAACGCCGCGUGAGUGAUGAAGGUCUUCGGAUCGUAAAACUCUGUUAUUAGGGAAGAACAAAUGUGUAAGUAACUAUGCACGUCUUGACGGUACCUAAUCAGAAAGCCACGGCUAACUACGUG
This 497-nucleotide ribosomal RNA is filed under the name uncultured bacterium. Its description in RNAcentral is "partial 16S ribosomal RNA". It matches the Rfam family "Bacterial small subunit ribosomal RNA", at positions 28 to 507 of the family's 1533-position model. The record is from RNAcentral.